Molecule: ribosomal RNA, 254 nt
Filed under: uncultured bacterium
Lineage: Bacteria
Description: partial 16S ribosomal RNA
Rfam family: Bacterial small subunit ribosomal RNA
Source: RNAcentral
UACGGGGGGAGCAAGCGUUGUUCGGAUUUACUGGGCGUAAAGGGCGCGUAGGCGGUCGUGACAAGUCACUUGUGAAAUCUCCGGGCUUAACUCGGAACGGUCAAGUGAUACUGUCGGACUAGAGUACAGAAGGGGCAACUGGAAUUCUCGGUGUAGCGGUGAAAUGCGUAGAUAUCGAGAGGAACACCUGCGGCGAAGGCGGGUUGCUGGGCUGAUACUGACGCUGAGGCGCGAAAGCCAGAGGAGCGAACGGG